RNAcentral lists this ribosomal RNA (788 nucleotides) under uncultured archaeon. Its description in RNAcentral is "bacterial SSU rRNA". It matches the Rfam family "Archaeal small subunit ribosomal RNA", at positions 85 to 876 of the family's 1478-position model. The record is from RNAcentral.
ACGGCUCAGUAACACGUGGUCAACAUACCCAGAGGACGUGGAUAACCUCGGGAAACUGAGGAUAAACCGCGAUAGAUCAUAAUGUCUGGAUUGAUUUAUGGUUCAAAUCUAUAUGGCCUCUGGAUUGGACUGCGGCCGAUCAGGCUGUUGGUGAGGUAAUGGCCCACCAAACCUGAAACCGGUACGGGCUCUGAGAGGAGAAGCCCGGAGAUGGGCACUGAGACAAGGGCCCAGGCCCUAUGGGGCGCAGCAGGCGCGAAACCUUUGCAAUAGGCGAAAGCCUGACAAGGUUACUCUGAGUGAUCUCCGCUAAGGAAAUCUUUUGACACCUCUAAAAAUGGUGUAGAAUAAGGGGUGGGCAAGCCUGGUGUCAGCCGCCGCGGUAAUACCAGCACCCCGAGUGGUCGGGACGAUUAUUGGGCCUAAAGCAUCCGUAGCCGGUUCUUUAAGUCCUCCGUUAAAUCCACCUGCUUAACAGAUGGGCUGCGGAGGAUACUAUAGAGCUAGGAGGCGGGAGAGGCAAGCGGUACUCAGUGGGUAGGGGUAAAAUCCGUUGAUCCAUUGAAGACCACCAGUGGCGAAGGCGGCUUGCCAGAACGCGCUCGACGGUGAGGGAUGAAAGCUGGGGGAGCAAACCGGAUUAGAUACCCGGGUAGUCCCAGCUGUAAACGAUGCAGACUCGGUGAUGAACAGGCUUCGUGCCUGUUCAGUGCCGCAGGGAAGCCGUUAAGUCUGCCGCCUGGGGAGUACGGUCGCAAGACUGAAACUUAAAGGAAUUGGCGGGGGAG